GAGUGUAGGGUUCCUAGCGAGCCCAACCUCCCACCCGUGUUUACUGUACCUUAGUUGCUUCGGCGGGCCCGCCAUUCAUGGCCGCCGGGGGCUCUCAGCCCCGGGCCCGCGCCCGCCGGAGACACCACGAACUCUGUCUGAUCUAGUGAAGUCUGAGUUGAUUGUAUCGCAAUCAGUUAAAACUUUCAACAAUGGAUCUCUUGGUUCCGGCAUCGAUGAAGAACGCAGCGAAAUGCGAUAACUAGUGUGAAUUGCAGAAUUCCGUGAAUCAUCGAGUCUUUGAACGCACAUUGCGCCCCCUGGUAUUCCGGGGGGCAUGCCUGUCCGAGCGUCAUUGCUGCCCAUCAAGCACGGCUUGUGUGUUGGGUCGUCGUCCCCUCUCCGGGGGGGACGGGCCCCAAAGGCAGCGGCGGCACCGCGUCCGAUCCUCGAGCGUAUGGGGCUUUGUCACCCGCUCUGUAGGCCCGGCCGGCGCUUGCCGAACGCAAAUC
RNAcentral lists this ribosomal RNA (491 nucleotides) under Aspergillus flavus. RNAcentral describes it as "eukaryotic LSU rRNA". The stretch from base 181 to 334 matches the Rfam family "5.8S ribosomal RNA". Lineage: Eukaryota; Fungi; Ascomycota; Eurotiomycetes; Eurotiales; Aspergillaceae. The record is from RNAcentral.